This 775-nucleotide ribosomal RNA is filed under the name uncultured Neocallimastigales. RNAcentral's name for it is "partial large subunit ribosomal RNA". It matches the Rfam family "Eukaryotic large subunit ribosomal RNA", at positions 23 to 645 of the family's 3401-position model. Lineage: Eukaryota; Fungi; Neocallimastigomycota; Neocallimastigomycetes; Neocallimastigales. The record is from RNAcentral.
AGAGAUGUGUGAUGACGCAUAUCAAUAAGCGGAGGAAAAGAAACUAACAAGGAUUCCCUUAGUAACGGCGAGUGAAGCGGGAAGAGCUCAAAUUUGAAAUCUUCAAGGUUCUACCUUGACGAAUUGUAGUUUAUAGAAGUGUUUUCUGUUAGUAGAGUGGCAAAAGUUCUUUGGAAUAGGACAUCAUAGAGGGUGAGAAUCCCGUAUUUGGUCAUUCUUUCUAGCUUUGUGAUACACUUUCAACGAGUCGGAUUGUUUGGGAAUGCAGUCCAAAAUGGGUGGUAAAUUUCAUCUAAAGCUAAAUAUUGGCGAGAGACCGAUAGCGAACAAGUACCGUGAGGGAAAGAUGAAAAGAACUUUGAAAAGAGAGUUAAACAGUACGUGAAAUUGUCAAAAGGGAAGCGUUUGACACCAGUGUUGUUUUUCCGAAAAUCAAUUACGAAUGUUUUAGUUUUUGAGAAGUUAUGACUUCAUCGGCUUGCUUCUCUCUUUAUGAAACUUUCUUAAUGCACUUUUCGGUUAACAAGUCAACAUCAAUUUCUUUUGUUGUAAAAGGGUAUGAGGAAGGUGGCUUUCUUUUCGGAGAAAGUGUUUAUAGCCUUGUGCCUCUGCAAUCGGAGAGAUUGAGGUCUGCAGCGUAGAUCCUUCGGGGUUAGAUACAUUUGUGCUAAGUUAUAGCUUUUCAUAGACAACUUGUUGACUAUGUUAAGUCUUGUAGCUUACUCGCUUAUGCUAUUUUACCUACGCUUAGGAUGUUGAAGUCAUCGUAUCGCGC